GAUGAAGAACGUAGCGAAACGCGAUAAGUAAUGUGAAUUGCAGAAUCCAGUGAAUCAUCGAAUCUUUGAACGCACAUUGCGCCCUCCAGCAUUCUGGCGGGCAUGCCUGUUCGAGCGUCAUUUCAACCCUCGACCUCCCCUUGGGGAGGUCGGCGUUGGGGACCGGCAGCACACCGCCGGCCCUGAAAUGGAGUGGCGGCCCGUCCGCGGCGACCUCUGCGCAGUAAUACAGCUCGCACCGGGACCCCGACGCGGCCACGCCGUAAAACACCCAACUUCUGAACGUUGACCUCGAAUCAGGUAGGACUACCCGCUGAACUUAAGCAUAUCAAUAAGCGGAGGA
RNAcentral lists this unclassified non-coding RNA (343 nucleotides) under soil metagenome. Its description in RNAcentral is "partial contains 5.8S ribosomal RNA, internal transcribed spacer 2, and large subunit ribosomal RNA". The stretch from base 1 to 120 matches the Rfam family "5.8S ribosomal RNA", at positions 35 to 154 of the family's 154-position model. The record is from RNAcentral.